Molecule: ribosomal RNA, 516 nt
Filed under: uncultured bacterium
Lineage: Bacteria
Description: bacterial SSU rRNA
Rfam family: Bacterial small subunit ribosomal RNA
Source: RNAcentral
CGUAGUUGAUCAUGGCUCGAGGACGACGCUGGCGGCGUGCCUAAUACAUGCAAGUCGAGCGGACCAAAGGGAGCUUGCUCCUGGAGGUUAGCGGCGAACGGGUGAGUAACACGUGGGCAACCUGCCUGUAAGACUGGGAUAACAUCGAGAAAUCGGUGCUAAUACCGGAUAAUAAAAAGAACUGCAUGGUUCUUUUUUGAAAGAUGGUUUCGGCUAUCACUUACAGAUGGGCCCGCGGCGCAUUAGCUAGUUGGUGAGGUAACGGCUCACCAAGGCAACGAUGCGUAGCCGACCUGAGAGGGUGAUCGGCCACACUGGGACUGAGACACGGCCCAGACUCCUACGGGAGGCAGCAGUAGGGAAUCUUCCGCAAUGGACGAAAGUCUGACGGAGCAACGCCGCGUGAGUGAUGAAGGUUUUCGGAUCGUAAAACUCUGUUGUUAGGGAAGAACAAGUGCCGUUCGAAAGGGCGGCACCUUGACGGUACCUAACGAGAAAGCCACGGCUAACUACGUG